GUUGCAUUGAAUUAUGUUUUUGAAGAUGGUUGAAGAUGUCCUUAAGGCCAAUCCAAAGGGUGAAGAAAUCUUCAAGGAGUAUGACAAGAUCAAAACUCCUAACUGAUGGAAAACGGAAUGAAAUGGUGAACAUCCUGGUUGCUGAUAUGAUCAAGACACAUGGGAUUCCACCAUCAAGUGCACAAACUAAUUAUGCCCUGGGAAUUGUGACCUCCAAGAUCCAUACUCUGAAAAUGGAUAUGAACACUACUAUGAUGCUGUGGGUAACACUGGCUACCUAGCAUGGAGGAUUAAGACCGUUCAGCGCAACUCCUCUUUUGGGUCCCAGAGUUAUCCAAGGCCAUCUUAUCAAGAUAGUCCAAGAAGCAGACGAAGCAGAUGAAAAUUGUGUGUCUACUUUUUCUAAGAUUGACCAGGACUUCGCCGUGAUGUUUGGAGAAGGGGUGUCCAGUAGGUUUCUAGCGAAGUGGCCUACUUUUUCAUAAGUGACUGCAGGACACUCUCCCCAAAUCAGUAUGCUGAGGAACUGCUGCGACCAAUAGAACCCCAACCUGAGGAUACCUUCGGUUGGGACAGUGACAUGUCAGCAAUUCUCCUGCUUCUACAUCUGCUUCCCCCCAACCUCGAGAGGCCAGAAAAAAUCAGCGAAGAUCAGUUCCGCCCAGUCAGCCAACCAUCUUGUGGGAUAGAUUCAAGAAGGAGCCAGUCUUACUACCUUCCUUGAAAGAGCUGAAACGAAACAGCCCUUACCUCCUCUGCGUUGGUCAAUAAAAGAACAAAAUCUUGAAGUUCUACAUCAUCAUCGACCUGAAUGCUCUCCCAUGCAAGGCCCAGACAUCUGUGGCUGAUUUUGAUGAGGUAUUUAAAGCUUACUAUGUCUUUGGCCUCUCCUAUGAAGAAGCUCUGAGCUUUUUAUACAUUUGUGCAGACCACAGUGUAUAGUAUUGAUGUUGGAGUUGCCAAGGAGAGCCCUCGUGUUAAGGAACUUAGAGCAAGAUUACUGCAGCACAACAUCAGAACUAACAGUUGGUGUUUAGAAACAUUUUGAGCAGCAAGACUGCUUCAGCACAAAAGGUGAACUAAUCGUUUGUUAAAUAAAAUGUUCACAUGUUUUGUUUGUGA
This is a long non-coding RNA of Astyanax mexicanus (Mexican tetra), 1122 nucleotides long. RefSeq lists it as uncharacterized. The record is from RefSeq and is a predicted model, not a curated record. NCBI's taxonomy places the organism in Eukaryota, Metazoa, Chordata, Actinopteri, Characiformes, Acestrorhamphidae. The transcript has 5 exons.